AGCAGGAAGAAAGUUCAAAAUGAGCCAUUCCUUCUUUAUCCCAACUUGGGUUCUAUUCUUCCUGAUAUCUUCCUCUCUCACAAUCCAAUUUCAAUUAGCUAAUGGAGAAAUCGUUGAAGAAAAGGGGAGAUUUGGAGGAAGAACUGGUAUUAGCCCACCAGCGCCGGCCACAAACCCAAUAAAGCACUAUUUUCCACCUUUGAAGGGGCCAGGUUGUGGUCCUGAUACUCCUGCUGGUCCUCCAGGAAGAAUUAACGAGAGGAAAUUCAAAUGACAUUUUUUAGUUGAGGGCUAAUGGCUUGUACGUUUUCGUUUGUGAUUAUAGCUUAAUCUGAAUCUUACGCGGAGCCUGAGCAAUUGGUUAGCUCAGACGUUGCAGAUAGUUGAGCUAUCUUGAGGCAGAAUGAUUACGAUGAAUAAAAUUGCCAUAUUUUGAGCAUGUUUUUUA
Dendrobium catenatum is the source of this 448-nucleotide long non-coding RNA. RefSeq lists it as uncharacterized. The record is from RefSeq and is a predicted model, not a curated record. NCBI's taxonomy places the organism in Eukaryota, Viridiplantae, Streptophyta, Magnoliopsida, Asparagales, Orchidaceae. The transcript has 2 exons.